RNAcentral lists this ribosomal RNA (322 nucleotides) under uncultured eukaryote. RNAcentral describes it as "partial 18S ribosomal RNA". It matches the Rfam family "Eukaryotic small subunit ribosomal RNA", at positions 1470 to 1796 of the family's 1831-position model. The record is from RNAcentral.
CCCUUAGAUGUUCUGGGCCGCACGCGUGCUACACUGAGUGGAUCAGCGGGUCAGGUUGCGCGAAAGUGUUUCCUAAUCUUUAAAUCCGCUCGUGAUGGGGAUUGACGGUUGCAAUUUUCCGUCAUGAACGAGGAAUACCUUGUAAGCGCGGGUCAUCAUCCCGCGCUGAAUACGUCCCUGCCCUUUGUACACGCCGCCCGUCGCUCCUACCGAUUGAGUGGUCCGGUGAGGCUUUGGGAUCUGAGCGGAAAGAGCGUUUCGCUGUUUCUGCCCGGAAAACUCAGUCGAACCUUAUCAUUUAGAGGAAGGAGAAGUCGUAACA